Molecule: transfer RNA, 123 nt
Filed under: Talaromyces rugulosus
Lineage: Eukaryota; Fungi; Ascomycota; Eurotiomycetes; Eurotiales; Trichocomaceae
Description: tRNA-Gln
Source: RNAcentral
AGCAUGUUAGCUCAGGGGUGGAGCGCCGUGAGUUUUGAAUAUCACAUAUUUUAUGAAUAAAAACUAAUAAUAAUAUAGAGGCUCAUAACCUGGAGGCCCCUGGAUCGAAACCAGGACAUGCUA